UUACACAUGCAAGUCGAACGGUAACAGGUCUUCGGAUGCUGACGAGUGGCGAACGGGUGAGUAAUACAUCGGAACGUGCCCGAUCGUGGGGGAUAACGAGGCGAAAGCUUUGCUAAUACCGCAUACGAUCUACGGAUGAAAGCGGGGGAUCUUCGGACCUCGCGCGGACGGAGCGGCCGAUGGCAGAUUAGGUAGUUGGUGGGGUAAAGGCCUACCAAGCCUGCGAUCUGUAGCUGGUCUGAGAGGAUGAUCAGCCACACUGGGACUGAGACACGGCCCAGACUCCUACGGGAGGCAGCAGUGGGGAAUUUUGGACAAUGGGGGCAUCCCCCAUCGAGCCCCGCGC
This 346-nucleotide ribosomal RNA is filed under the name uncultured Comamonas sp. RNAcentral describes it as "bacterial SSU rRNA". It matches the Rfam family "Bacterial small subunit ribosomal RNA", at positions 49 to 397 of the family's 1533-position model. The record is from RNAcentral. Lineage: Bacteria; Pseudomonadati; Pseudomonadota; Betaproteobacteria; Burkholderiales; Comamonadaceae.